AAGGGGUAAGGGUAAAUACCCAGUAAUUCAGGCCCAGUCAAUCAAACUGCUCUGAUACCAUGUUAAAUUUCAAGGAGUCGGGCUAGCGACCCACUACCAGCAAUACAGAUAUUGUCGCUAACUUAACCACCUACAAAGCCCACUAAGUAUUAAAUUUUAUUCCAAACGGCCUCGAUGUUAUUAGGAGUGGUGUCAUUCAUUAUUUAUUAUAUUUCAUUUAGUUUCCAAUAUUUGACUUAUAUUCUUUAGCAAUGUAAAAUCACAUCAAGAGGGUUUGAUUAAUAGAACUUUAUCCUACAAAUGCACAAUUAAUUGUUAUGAAAAUUUGCUCAAUGUGAUGUCAGGGUGGUUUGGAGCUUGGCUCACUAUGUUUGAAGGAAGAAGGAAGUAUACAAGCCAGUGGUCGGCAGUUGCAUCCAGAUUGUCGAUUUUUGGAAAUUGUUAUUGCAAAUACAUAGUGUUUGUUUGGCCGUAUGCGAGGAGGAGGGGGACAAAAUUGAUGUAUGGACUAAAAAAUUAAAGACUACAUUGAUAUGUGAUAAGGUUUUCACAGCCAAGUUUUUUUUUUUUUUUUUUUUUUAAAAAAAAAAGGGCCAGUAACAAUAGCAUCCACGGGUUCAAUGAUAAUCUCUCUUCUUCUUCUUCUUCUUCUUCUUCUUCUUCUUGUUUUUUUUAUAAAUAAAAUAUAAAAUUAAAGUGAUAUUUUAAAUUACAUACGUGAAAUUUUUCGCACAUAACUAUUAGAUCAAUUGUAUCACAACAACAAUAGUCAUUUGUUUAUUAUUUUGAGGGAAAACUGCUGAAUACCCCCUGCACUAUUACGCUUGUCGAAAUCUCCACCAUGAAUUAUUUUUUCAGUCAAUUUAGCUCGUAAAACUAUUUUAAAUAGUCAAUUUAGCACAUGACGUCAAGUUUUUAGACUUCCAUCCAAUUUUCUAUUAAUUAUAAAAGUAAAUUUGUUAUUUUACAAGGAUAAUACCAAAAAAUAAUAAAGAAAAUAUAAAAUCAUGAUUUCUUCUCUUUUUCUCUUUGUUUGUUCUUUUUCCUUUCCCGUCUUCUUCAUCUCUUUCUCUUUUUUUUUCUUCUCUCCCCUUCUACUCCAACUCUUUCAAAUUUAUUAGCUCCAGUUGUCCUCUCUUCAUUUGGAGGGAGAUUAGCAGCGAAAGAUUUGUAACAGCCAAGAGAAUGCUAAAAUUGAAGGAACGUGUGUAAAACACAAUACAAGAAGGAAGAAGAGGGAAGGAUGAGUGAAUAAAUAAACGGGCAAUCUUCACACACCUCAUAGAAAUAUGCCACACAGACCCGGUAUUUUGGGGAGGAGUUCAUAACUUGAUGCAAUCCCUAAAUCUCACUGAUCCAAUCAAGAACAAGUAGGUGUCGAUGAAGAUGAAAACAUAUUUUGAUUCUAAUUAUAUGUUUAUUUACAAGGAUCAACCAUUGGUAUUCACUCGAAAACCCUUGUAAAUGUGGGAUUGCAGACAGAGAGUCUUAGGAGGAAGGGGCUGG
Molecule: long non-coding RNA, 1506 nt
Filed under: Prunus persica (peach)
Lineage: Eukaryota; Viridiplantae; Streptophyta; Magnoliopsida; Rosales; Rosaceae
Description: long non-coding RNA (PPER_LNC007723)
Source: RNAcentral